AGUUAUUUGCGAUGUUGGACCGGUUCAAUCAGAAAACACUGCCCAGAAAUUGCUGGGUCGUGUGCUUUGAUUGAGCCGCGCCAAUAUCCCAGAGCUUCUC
This is a non-coding RNA of Amborella trichopoda, 100 nucleotides long. NCBI's taxonomy places the organism in Eukaryota, Viridiplantae, Streptophyta, Magnoliopsida, Amborellales, Amborellaceae. The record is from Rfam.